CGGGGUGUGGCGCAGCUGGUAGCGCGCGACGUUUGGGACGUCGAUGCCGCAGGUUCGAACCCUGUCACUCCGACCA
This 76-nucleotide transfer RNA is filed under the name Anaerotruncus sp. CAG:390. RNAcentral's name for it is "transfer RNA-Pro(TGG)". It matches the Rfam family "tRNA". Rfam says of the family: Transfer RNA (tRNA) molecules are approximately 80 nucleotides in length. Their secondary structure includes four short double-helical elements and three loops (D, anti-codon, and T loops). Lineage: Bacteria; Bacillati; Bacillota; Clostridia; Eubacteriales; Oscillospiraceae. The record is from RNAcentral.